RNAcentral lists this ribosomal RNA (465 nucleotides) under uncultured Klebsiella sp. Its description in RNAcentral is "bacterial SSU rRNA". It matches the Rfam family "Bacterial small subunit ribosomal RNA", at positions 338 to 795 of the family's 1533-position model. Lineage: Bacteria; Pseudomonadati; Pseudomonadota; Gammaproteobacteria; Enterobacterales; Enterobacteriaceae. The record is from RNAcentral.
CCUACGGGAGGCAGCAGUGGGGAAUAUUGCACAAUGGGCGCAAGCCUGAUGCAGCCAUGCCGCGUGUGUGAAGAAGGCCUUCGGGUUGUAAAGCACUUUCAGCGGGGAGGAAGGCGGUGAGGUUAAUAACCUCAUCGAUUGACGUUACCCGCAGAAGAAGCACCGGCUAACUCCGUGCCAGCAGCCGCGGUAAUACGGAGGGUGCAAGCGUUAAUCGGAAUUACCGGGCGUAAAGCGCACGCAGGCGGUCUGUCAAGUCGGAUGUGAAAUCCCCGGGCUCAACCUGGGAACUGCAUUCGAAACUGGCAGGCUAGAGUCUUGUAGAGGGGGGUAGAAUUCCAGGUGUAGCGGUGAAAUGCGUAGAGAUCUGGAGGAAUACCGGUGGCGAAGGCGGCCCCCUGGACAAAGACUGACGCUCAGGUGCGAAAGCGUGGGGAGCAAACAGGAUUAGAUACCCGGGUAGUC